Molecule: ribosomal RNA, 261 nt
Filed under: uncultured prokaryote
Description: partial 16S ribosomal RNA
Rfam family: Bacterial small subunit ribosomal RNA
Source: RNAcentral
UACGUAGGUGGCGAGCGUUAUCCGGAAUUAUUGGGCGUAAAGAGCGCGCAGGUGGUUGAUUAAGUCUGAUGUGAAAGCCCACGGCUUAACCGUGGAGGGUCAUUGGAAACUGGUCAACUUGAGUGCAGGAGAGGAGAGUGGAAUUCCUAGUGUAGCGGUGAAAUGCGUAGAUAUUAGGAGGAACACCAGUAGCGAAGGCGGCUCUCUGGACUGUAACUGACGCUGAGGCACGAAAGCGUGGGGAGCAAACAGGAUUAGAUA